RNAcentral lists this ribosomal RNA (1371 nucleotides) under Escherichia coli. Its description in RNAcentral is "partial 23S ribosomal RNA". It matches the Rfam family "Bacterial large subunit ribosomal RNA", at positions 375 to 1751 of the family's 2925-position model. The record is from RNAcentral. Lineage: Bacteria; Pseudomonadati; Pseudomonadota; Gammaproteobacteria; Enterobacterales; Enterobacteriaceae.
GUACACAAAAAUGCACAUGCUGUGAGCUCGAUGAGUAGGGCGGGACACGUGGUAUCCUGUCUGAAUAUGGGGGGACCAUCCUCCAAGGCUAAAUACUCCUGACUGACCGAUAGUGAACCAGUACCGUGAGGGAAAGGCGAAAAGAACCCCGGCGAGGGGAGUGAAAAAGAACCUGAAACCGUGUACGUACAAGCAGUGGGAGCACGCUUAGGCGUGUGACUGCGUACCUUUUGUAUAAUGGGUCAGCGACUUAUAUUCUGUAGCAAGGUUAACCGAAUAGGGGAGCCGAAGGGAAACCGAGUCUUAACUGGGCGUUAAGUUGCAGGGUAUAGACCCGAAACCCGGUGAUCUAGCCAUGGGCAGGUUGAAGGUUGGGUAACACUAACUGGAGGACCGAACCGACUAAUGUUGAAAAAUUAGCGGAUGACUUGUGGCUGGGGGUGAAAGGCCAAUCAAACCGGGAGAUAGCUGGUUCUCCCCGAAAGCUAUUUAGGUAGCGCCUCGUGAAUUCAUCUCCGGGGGUAGAGCACUGUUUCGGCAAGGGGGUCAUCCCGACUUACCAACCCGAUGCAAACUGCGAAUACCGGAGAAUGUUAUCACGGGAGACACACGGCGGGUGCUAACGUCCGUCGUGAAGAGGGAAACAACCCAGACCGCCAGCUAAGGUCCCAAAGUCAUGGUUAAGUGGGAAACGAUGUGGGAAGGCCCAGACAGCCAGGAUGUUGGCUUAGAAGCAGCCAUCAUUUAAAGAAAGCGUAAUAGCUCACUGGUCGAGUCGGCCUGCGCGGAAGAUGUAACGGGGCUAAACCAUGCACCGAAGCUGCGGCAGCGACGCUGAUGCGUUGUUGGGUAGGGGAGCGUUCUGUAAGCCUGCGAAGGUGUGCUGUGAGGCAUGCUGGAGGUAUCAGAAGUGCGAAUGCUGACAUAAGUAACGAUAAAGCGGGUGAAAAGCCCGCUCGCCGGAAGACCAAGGGUUCCUGUCCAACGUUAAUCGGGGCAGGGUGAGUCGACCCCUAAGGCGAGGCCGAAAGGCGUAGUCGAUGGGAAACAGGUUAAUAUUCCUGUACUUGGUGUUACUGCGAAGGGGGGACGGAGAAGGCUAUGUUGGCCGGGCGACGGUUGUCCCGGUUUAAGCGUGUAGGCUGGUUUUCCAGGCAAAUCCGGAAAAUCAAGGCUGAGGCGUGAUGACGAGGCACUACGGUGCUGAAGCAACAAAUGCCCUGCUUCCAGGAAAAGCCUCUAAGCAUCAGGUAACAUCAAAUCGUACCCCAAACCGACACAGGUGGUCAGGUAGAGAAUACCAAGGCGCUUGAGAGAACUCGGGUGAAGGAACUAGGCAAAAUGGUGCCGUAACUUCGGGAGAAGGCACGC